CCUACGGGAGGCAGCAGUCAAGAAUCAUUCACAAUGGGGGAAACCCUGAUGGUGCGACGCCGCGUGGGGGAAUGAAGGUCUUCGGAUUGUAAACCCCUGUCAUGUGGGAGCAAAUUAAAAAGAUAGUACCACAAGAGGAAGAGACGGCUAACUCUGUGCCAGCAGCCGCGGUAAUACAGAGGUCUCAAGCGUUGUUCGGAAUCACUGGGCGUAAAGCGUGCGUAGGCUGUUUCGUAAGUCGUGUGUGAAAGGCGCGGGCUCAACCCGCGGACGGCACAUGAUACUGCGAGACUAGAGUAAUGGAGGAGGAACCGGAAUUCUCGGUGUAGCAGUGAAAUGCGGAGAUAUCGGGAGGAACACUCGUGGCGAAGGCGGGUUCCUGGACAUUAACUGACGCUGAGGCACGAAGGCCAGGGGAGCGAAAGGGAUUAGAUACCCCUGGCAGUC
RNAcentral lists this ribosomal RNA (447 nucleotides) under uncultured bacterium. RNAcentral's name for it is "partial 16S ribosomal RNA". It matches the Rfam family "Bacterial small subunit ribosomal RNA", at positions 338 to 795 of the family's 1533-position model. The record is from RNAcentral.